GGCUCUUUGACAAAAACAUAUAGAGAGUCGAACCUGCCCAGUGAACAGUUUAACGGCCGCGGUACCCUGACCGUGCAAAGGUAGCAUAAUCAUUUGCCUUAUAAUUGAAGGCUUGUAUGAAUGGUCUGACGAAAGCAAUACUGUCUCUUCUUUAUUAUCUAGAAAUUAACCUAUGGGUGAAGAGGCCUAUAUUAUAUUGAAGGACAAGAAGACCCUGUCGAGCUUUAGAGUAAAGCAGGAAUAUAAGUAUUAAAAAAAAAUCAAUGACUACAUAACUCUUUAGUUGGGGCGACUAAGGAACAAAUAAAGCUUCUUUUAGUUUUUUAGAUCAAUAAAUUUAGAUCCAGCAAAGCUGAUUAAAAGAAUUAGUUACCGCAGGGAUAACAGCAUAAUCUCUCUUGAGAGACCUAAUCGAAAGAGGGGGUUGUGACCUCGAUGUUGGACUAAAAUAUCCUGAAGAUGCAGACGUCUUCGAAGGUUGGUCUGUUCGACCAUUAAAAUUUU
This 504-nucleotide ribosomal RNA is filed under the name Melanoides tuberculata. RNAcentral's name for it is "partial 16S ribosomal RNA". It matches the Rfam family "Bacterial large subunit ribosomal RNA", at positions 1816 to 2597 of the family's 2925-position model. Lineage: Eukaryota; Metazoa; Mollusca; Gastropoda; Thiaridae. The record is from RNAcentral.